GACAGAGGAUGCGAACGUUGCUCGGAAUUACUGGGCGUAAAGCGUGAGUAGGUGGUCACGAAAGUCGGGUGUGAAAUCCCAGGGCUCAACCCUGGAAGUGCACACGAUACUACGUGACUGGAGUACUGGAGAGGAAGGUGGAAUUCCCGGUGUAGAGGUGAAAUUCGUAGAUAUCGGGAGGAACACCAGUGGCGAAAGCGACCUUCUGGACAGAUACUGACACUGAGUCACGAAAGCACGGGGAGCAAACAGG
RNAcentral lists this ribosomal RNA (253 nucleotides) under uncultured bacterium. RNAcentral's name for it is "partial 16S ribosomal RNA". It matches the Rfam family "Bacterial small subunit ribosomal RNA", at positions 524 to 776 of the family's 1533-position model. The record is from RNAcentral.